AAAAUUUAAAAUCUGUUCACACCAAAAAUUGAUUGUGUGUCAUAAGAUGAUCCUAAGGAACUCACCAGGAAAAUAGUUAAAUAAACAAACUAAAGUGUGGACAACAGUAUGUAGUUUGGUAGACUGACAAAUCCAAGUGUGACCCCACAAAUAUAUGGAGAUCUUUUACUGCAUACAGAGCUCAUGUACAUGUAUUAGAUGAUAUAAAUUUGCAGCUAAAGAUAUUGCUGCUAGAUAUAAAAUUAUAGAUACAAGUAGCCUAAUAUUAAAACCCAACUUCUGGAAACAGGCAACCAAGUAGUAAUUAAUAGCCAAAUCAAAACUUGAUAAUCCCCUAUACAAACUUUGAGUAUGAACUGAUAUUUCCAUUGUUGGACCCUUGUUUGAGACACUUCUAGCAUUUUGUUGAUUCGGAGCAAAAGAUAGAUCAUAUUCCACAUGCAAGUUGAAGCAGAUACUGAUGGCAAUUAACAGAAACCAAGUAAGAUGCUUCAGGACGAUUGGAAGAAUCAGAUGUGCACACUAUUAACUCCAAACUACCACUGAAUUCAAGUUCAAACUGAAAGCUGCCACAAAGACCAAAUCAAGCAAUAUGCUUCAUGAUCAGGAUUAAUCAGAAGUCCAAACCGUCCGGGAAGCAGACGAUCCAUUUGCUUCACCAAGUACCCCCACCAACUGACGUUUUGCUAGGAUUUCCAACUCUACAAUCUUCCAAUAAAACCUCCAACAGUGCCUAUCAAUAAUGAACAGCCCAAAUGUAAUCGGCAUACUUAAAAGUUUCUUCAAGGAAAGUCAGACCAUAAUUAGAACUGGACAAUGAGUCAAAACAAGGAUGGAGCAUAGGUACUUCCUCUGUACCAAAAUAAGUGUUGUGGUUUUAGUCCUCCUCUAUCCAGAAAGAAGAUCCUAAACAAGCUUUUAGAACUCUUCACCUCUGCGGAUCAGUUUGAAUACUCGAGACUUAAACAGCUAAUUGGUUUUCAUGUGAAAUCAGAAGGUCUCCAAACAAAUUAUCACGUAGCAUGACAUCAGAUUUCUUUUGUAAAAUUGUCAAGUACACCUGCAAUGAACAUAAGACUGCCUAACCAUUUUGGAGAAAGCUGUUCAACAUCAAAAACAUGUGAACAAAUAUAGCAAGGGAGAUAGGGAUAAGCCUGGUUUAGCGAAGUUAUGAACAUUCGUUUGAAUUAUCCUCAUUGUAUGCCACAUCUGCAUAGAACUAGGAGUUACUGACAAGAUCGAAUCACGAAGAAUCUCCUAGAGCACCAUUCCAAUUAUUGAGCCAAAAAGUAGUCCGGGCAAGCCUAGGCUCAAAUGCUGGAGAACAACCAAAAAUCCAAAUAAUACUCAGAACAGAAACCAAACUGCUCACAUGGAGAAAUCAAAUAGGAGAACCAAACAGUCCAGUCAUGCCUCAAGACACUUAUGAAUCCUCAACCAUGCAGGCAUGACCAACAGAAACCAAAAAGGUGACACAUUUUGAAUGGCUACAAGCAUGGUUUGAUCAAUGCUACAAGCAAAAGGCAACCAAGACAACAGAAGUUUCUUCAGGAGAUUACUCAGCAUAAGAUAAUUUUUCAGUUGUAGAGAGCACCGAGUUUUUUAGGUUGUAGGAUGUCCCAUCUAGACUGAAGCCCCAGAGAAACCUUCGAAUCUAUCUAUCCAACAAAUCAAUCUGAAUGUUCAAAUUGUCUCCAUAAGAUAAUUUAUAUGUUGAACAAAUUGCAAUGAAUUGCAAAGGUGUAGGGCUUAGAAGAUCUUCAAACAGAUAACUCCAUCAGGUUGGACCUAAAUAGUCAAUUAGGACCUGCAACGACCAAGAGACCUUCUCAUGAAUUUUUGCUUUGGGGAGACGGAGCUAUUAUAUCCUGCAAACCACACUUGCAGAAGACCAAUAGAACACAGGGAUCAAGAGUUAAAGGUAACAAAUCGAACAACGGAGAGCUAGAUCGCAAACCAAAAAUAUUAGAACAGAUUCCGCGUCAUUACCCACAUGGUCUGGGCUAAAAAAGAAAAUCAGGAACCACAGGAAGGGCAGGAGCAAAACCCUAUAUCAAAGACAUGGCCAAGUAGCUAAAUGAAAUUAAAAGAAAGAUGGCAAGAGUCUUCUUUCGGUUGUAGGAUGAGCCAUUAGUCAAAAGCUUCGGAUUAUCCUUAGAUUCGUGCACCUUUGCAUAUGAAUCUGUAUUAUAAAAUAUUACCUAGUAAGAUAAUUUGUAGGUUAUGUAAGAUGCAACGAACUGAAGGUAUACUAGUAGAUUUAGGAGAUCUGCAAACAGAUUAAUCAUCAGGUUGGGCUCGAGUUUCGUCAACUACAACCUGCAACGAGCAAGAGACCUUUCCAUAAAUUUUCAGUUAGGGGAAAUGUUACUUAUAAAUAGCUAAAGCAUGGAUCAAAUGAUGGGCUGGAACAAGUAAUACUGUCUCGGAUAGGAAGUAUAGCUAUGGUUGACGGACGACAACACCACCAGUUCCAAACUGCAGUUAUAUCCUUUCUAUGUCGGUAUCUGCAAGAUAUGAGAAUUACCAACUAAGGCAGAGAAAACCUAAUGUCAUGAGAGUUCAAUAAGGUUGAAAAAGUUUAAGCCACAGAAGGAACCGCCAUGCUGAUGCAAAAUAGGACCGCCCACUAGGCUGUGUAAUUCCAAUUUCUGGACAACCAUCAACAGAUCACUAUCAGAAUUGUUGGGAGUUAUGUACUUUGUCACUCAUGUAAGAAAUAAAGAUGAAAUUUAGCGACAAUUUGAUGCUUAAAACUUUGUCAACAGGGCAUGUUUGAUUCUUCUUUGUUGUUUACCAGCAAAGCAAAGCACGCCUGGCCCUUCUAGUAAUAAUCCAAAUCAGAACCUCUGGAGAGUAAAUUAUUGUACUUCGCAAAUGAAUAUGUUAAAAGUCAGAAUGAUCGAGAAUUUGAGAUCAUCCAAAAACGCAUCACAAGUUGGAGUUGAACACCAAAACAUAGUCCUCUGGAAAGAUCUAACCAUUUGUAUAUCCUCCACUCUUUGACUAAUCUUUGCAGAACCACUACCCUCUUGCUUCUGCUGCAUCUAAAGGAGCACAAACACACACCAAAAGCGAGAUCAGCUUAAGAAUCGACUAGGACCUCAAAUCCACCUCAUAUUAGCUGAUGAUGAUGGAACUCAUGAUGAGAACGAGAAGACCACACGAGCGAUAGCCAUUCAAAUCUGACCUGCCUCAAAUCCCCUUUGACAUACAACACCCCAUGGAUCUCCACAUACCAGAUCCAGUCCUGCAACCAACCCAUGAAAGCCAACACAAAUGGACCAACCAUCAAGACACUGACCUGACACCAUGACACGUACAAACAACAGAUAGCAAUGGGCAGGAAGACUAACGCAGGGAUCAAGAGUACAGAUAACCAAUAAAACCACAAAGAGUAGUAGAUGGCAAACCAGACGAUUUUAACAGAUUCAGGCUCGCUACCAGCAUUGCCUUAGGCCAAAAUAAAUCUGCAACGACAUGGAGGGCAGAAGCAAAAACCUAAAUCAAAGACAUGAACAUGUAGCCGAAUUAAAUAAAGAUUAAAAUAAGAGAUUUGAGUUUUUUUCCGGUUGUAGGAUGUGCCACUAGUUUGAAGCUUCAUUUUUGCAACUUCGCAGCUAAAUCUGAAUUUGAAAUAUUGCCUAGUAAGAAAUCUUAGUACUAUAAUCUAAGUUAAGGAAUUGAGAAGAUAGAUUUAGAAGAACUGCAAACUCAGCAUAAGGUAGGUUGCCUUGAGUUCGUGAACUACGACCUGCAACGAGCAAGAUACCUUUCUAUAAAUGUUUCAGUUAGGGAGAGAACUGGAUUAAAUGAUGAUGAGUUAAGAUAAAAUAAAGUAAGCCUGUAUCGACUGGGAAGGUCAGGUAGACAAGCUCCAAUUAUAUCCCUUGCAAGGCACCAUCUGCAAGAGCUGAGAAUGACUAAGGCAGGGAAACUAAUGUUUGCUGAGAUAUAAUUAUUUCAAUAAGAAAGGUCCAGAAAGUUUAUCCCCAUAAGAAGAAACGCCAUGCUGAGCCAAAAUAGGACCACCCGCCGCUAGGCUAUGUAAUUCCAGUUUCUGGAGAGCCAGCAGCAUAUCAAAAUCAGAGUUGUUGGGGGACUAAUUGAAUUGUGGAGAAGAACAAAUUAAACAGAGUGAUAUCCCAGAAGAUAAGUGGCUCGCACUAGGCCCUUUGUAAUCCCAGUUUCUGGAUAAGCAGCAAAAUGUCCAAAUCAGAGUUGUACUGUAGUAGGCUAAAUUGAACCAAGAAACUAAAUUAGGAGGGAUUGAUGUGUAUUAUCCGAAUGCAGAUCGUGUAUUCCAGCCUAGGUUGGUAAGAGGUCGAAAGCUUGGAUCAUCCCAGAAGAUUUGAUCAUAUCAGAAUCCGUCGGACUGUAACCAAUCAAUCGAAAUAACCGUUGGACUGUAACCAAUCAUUCAGAAUAACCAUGAACAGAAAUCAAACCUCCGCCGCCCCUUCAUCUGUAUCAUCUCUCCAGAUCUAAGCGCUGGCCCUCUUGGUUCUGCAUCUAGGAUGAGAGCACAUACACCAAAAGCAGAUCAGCCGGUACAACAAGAAUCCACGAGGGCCUCGAAUUCACCUAGUGGGAACAUGGAACCGGAAGGACGCACGGGCGACCGCCGUUCAAUUCAAUUCAAUUCAAAUCUAAAACCACCGACGAGACGGACGCAGGUGACGGAACCAAGGAACCGAUCUGACCGAUCGAGCACGGGAAACUGACCUUGCUUCGGCCCUGGGGUCACCCGAGACCAAAUCAGACGCAGAGGCAAAACCGACCAGCUCGACGGAAUCCCCGAUCGAUCGAUCCCGGAGGCGGACGAGACGGGCCGAAUCCCCUGCGAGCACAGGAGGCAGAGGCGACGAGGAGCGAAAUCAAACGCGAUUCGAAACGAAUCGAGAAUUUGAUGGACAAGGGGGAGGAGACGGUCGCGGAGACGCGAGGGGGCGACUCAGGCGAUCGAGCGCGGAGGCGCGGCCGGAACGAAAGCUCCAAAGGAGAAGAGAGGAGGCCAGAGCGCGGGGAGGAGAGGGCGCACCGGGGCGCCUUUUGUAGACGGCGCAGAGGCGGUUUGGGGAGGGGAGGCCGGCCUGGCGCCAACCGGUUCCUUACCGGACACGGCUUCGCCGCGCUGGCGUGCCCGCCCGCCGGUUAGGCAAGGCAUCAUUGUGCUUUGCGGGCACGUUUUCUUUCUCUUUUUUUUGAAGGACGGGCACGUUUUCUUUAGGGGAAUUGCGGGUGGAGCUGGUGAGAUCGGGCUGGAUCCGGACCGGGUUUGGUUU
RNAcentral lists this long non-coding RNA (5285 nucleotides) under Triticum aestivum (bread wheat). Its description in RNAcentral is "long non-coding RNA (TAES_LNC008544)". The record is from RNAcentral. Lineage: Eukaryota; Viridiplantae; Streptophyta; Magnoliopsida; Poales; Poaceae.